Molecule: ribosomal RNA, 1491 nt
Filed under: uncultured Armatimonadota bacterium
Lineage: Bacteria; Bacillati; Armatimonadota
Description: SSU rRNA
Rfam family: Bacterial small subunit ribosomal RNA
Source: RNAcentral
AGAGUUUGAUCAUGGCUCAGGACAAACGCUAGCGGCGUGCCUAAGAAAUGCAAGUCGAGCGGUUCCGAUGGGGCUUGCCCCAUCGGGAUAGCGGCGAACGGUCGCGUAACACGUAAGGAACCUGCCUCGAAGUGGGGGAUAGUCUCCCGAAAGGGAGCUUAAUACCGCAUGUGAACAACACCUGGCAUCUGGUGUUGUUUAAAGCAGCAAUGCUCUUCGAGAUGGUCUUGCGGCCUAUCAGCUAGUUGGUGGGGUAACGGCCUACCAAGGCGACGACGGGUAGCUGGUCUAAGAGGAUGGUCAGCCGGACUGGGACUGAGACACGGCCCAGACUCCUACGGGGGGCAGCAAUUAGGAAUCUUGCGCAAUGGGCGAAAGCCUGACGCAGCGACGCCGCGUGACUGAUGACGUCUUUCGGGAUGUAAAGGUCUUUUUUGGGGGAAGAAGGAUGUGACGGUACCCCAAGAAUAAGCCCCGGCUAACUACGUGCCAGCAGCCGCGGUAAUACGUAGGGGGCGAGCGUUGUCCGAAUUUACUGGGCGUAAAGCGCGCGUAGGCGGGUUAAUAAGUUGUGGGUGAAAUUCCGGGGCUCAACCUCGGAACUGCCUGCAAAACUGUUAGCCUUGAGGUAUGGAGAGGGAAGUGGAAUUCCUGGUGUAGCGGUGAAAUGCGUAGAUAUCAGGAGGAACACCUGUGGCGAAGGCGGCUUCCUGGCCAUAUUCUGACGCUGAGGUGCGAAAGCCAGGGGAGCGAACGGGAUUAGAUACCCCGGUAGUCCUGGCCGUAAACGAUGGAUACUAGGUGUUAGUGGUAUCGACCCCACUAGUGCCGGAGCUAACGCAUUAAGUAUCCCGCCUGGGGAGUACGACCGCAAGGUUGAAACUCAAAGGAAUUGACGGGGGCCCGCACAAGCGGUGGAGCAUGUGGUUUAAUACGUCACUAACCGUAGAACCUUACCCAGGCUUGACAUCUGGGGAAUCCCUAUGAAAGUGGGGAGUGCUUCGUAAGAAGAACCCCAAGACAGGUGUUGCAUGGCUGUCGUCAGCUCGUGUCGUGAGAUGUUGGGUUAAGUCCCGCAACGAGCGCAACCCUCAUCCGAUGUUGCCAGCGAGAAAGUCGGGAACUCUUCGGAAACUGCCCGUGUAAGCGGGAGGAAGGUGGGGAUGACGUCAAGUCAGCAUGGCCCUUACGCCUGGGGCUACACACAUGCUACAAUGGACGUGAACAAAGGGCAGCAAUACCGCGAGGUGGAGCUAAUCUCAAAAAUACGUCCUCAGUUCGGAUUGCAGUCUGCAACUCGACUGCAUGAAGUCGGAAUCGCUAGUAACCGCAGGUCAGCUAAACUGCGGUGAAUACGUUCCCGGGCCUUGUACACACCGCCCGUCACGCCACCUGAGUUGUCUGCACCCGAAGCCCGUGGCCUAACUCGCAAGAGAAGGGGCGGUCGAAGGUGUGGGGAGCGAGGGGGACGAAGUCGUAACAAGGUAGCCG